Cinara cedri is the source of this 963-nucleotide non-coding RNA. Lineage: Eukaryota; Metazoa; Arthropoda; Insecta; Hemiptera; Aphididae. The record is from the annotation of a GenBank genome assembly.
UUUUAUUACAAAUAAUAUCAAAAAUAAAUAUAAUAUAUAUACACACAGUAGGACUUUGAGGUGUUCUAAACCUAUACUUAGCAAUCUAAACGUAUAUUUUAUGGAAUUACAAGAGAAAUUAAAAACGACUUCUGGCGCACCAACAAAACAAAAAUUAUUGCCAGAAAUUACCCCUAAAGAUGAUUGGAGCAAAAGUUGAAAAAUGUUCCAGACAAAAAAAAAACAUUUAUACACACUUAUUACUUAGGAUUCAUAAAUUAUAUUUUUUAAUUUUUUUUGUAUAUAAUAGUCACCUGAAUAAUUAAUAUAGCAUUAAAAAAGUAUCUUAUUGAUGCAAUUGAGUUUAUUGUGUCAGCUAUUACUGAGAAGCAACCAUUUGGAUAAUAUUUUGUUAUGUCUGUUUGUUCACAAUCAGUGAAUGCAUUGCAAAUAGUAUUAGGUAGGCAACAACUACUAGGUGCAGCUGGUACUAUAAAUUUCCCAUUUUCCUGUGUAUAUCUUUAAACAAGUUUUAUUAUAAUUCUGAUUGGAUAUUUACACACAUUUUUUACUUUUGUAGUAGAUAAAACGAAGAUAAAAUUGGUGAUGCCCAAGGUGUUUGGAACCAAUCAGUACUUUGCGAGCUACCGCAACAAAAAUAGUGUUGUUGAAAUUGAUCCCAAAAUGUUCGCCACGCUGUAUUUGUUAAAUAUUUACCAAGACUAGUGUCUAAGAUGUAUUUUACUUCUUCAGAGACUGCUUGUAGGGUAUAUUGUAAACUAGCACAAAAACAUAAGAGAACAAUGACUUCUACUGCUGCUACUAUCAUAUACGACUUUUGGAUUACAUUAUGUUCUGGUGAUGAAUUUUUCCUACAAAAAAUAUGUUGCUUGUUAUAAUUGUAAUUAAAUACAUUGUUAAAUUAUUUUAUAAAUUAAAAAAAGAAUUUUAAUAGUUAAAUUAUGAUUUUUGACAUAGUACUUG